Molecule: long non-coding RNA, 3276 nt
Organism: Oenanthe melanoleuca
Lineage: Eukaryota; Metazoa; Chordata; Aves; Passeriformes; Muscicapidae
Exons: 3
Source: RefSeq, a predicted model, not a curated record
GACCUUGUCCUGCUCUCUGCACUUCCCUCGCUUUCAGGGUCGCUGUCACCCCCGCUCAGUCCCUGUCCCUCUGGGCCAGAGCCUUGCCCAUCUGGACUAAUUCUGUGUCUCCCAGCCUGCCUAGCUGAGCCCUUUGAGCCCAGUCCCGGGUCCCUCUUAUCUUCCCCGGGUCUGGGAGCCGCCGCAGCCCCGAGUGCCCCCUUGCCCGCCGCCUCUGUCUCCUGCCCCGACGCGAGUGAUGGAGCCACCACUGCCGCCGCCGUUUUGGACACCCCAGAUGCCGCGCUGGCGCCGCGGACGGGUAAAACUGUCUCCGCCCCCUCCCGGGGGUUGGGUCCCCCCUCCCCCGUGUCUCUGGCUGUCGGCACGGUCGCGCUGUACCUUGAAACUGUCCCGCGCACUAGGAUUCUAACGGGGGUCCCUAAACCUCCUGCCCCCUCCCUUAUGAUUGCGGGGCACGUUCCCGAAGCCAGAGAUGAUGUCAUAGGCACCAACUGGGUCACCUCGAACCCCGAGGGGGUGGCAAUCAUCCUCCCCUUGCCCAUAGCACCCUUAAUUGGGGUUAUUGUCUGUUCUGACAUCCCAGGAGUAUAUGGUAAAGUGUGACCUGUCUCAUCAUCUCCAUCCCCUCCUGCUCUUCCCAGCAUUCCUGGAGUAGAAUGUAAUUGUUUUCCCCCUGGUGGUGAGAUUACUUUUGAGGGACUAUAAAAAUAAAAAUCAAAAUCAUCAAAAUUCUUUGGAAAAACUUCUACCUUAACUUUUCCUGAUGUUGGUGUAAAUGUAGGUAACUCCAAAUAUUUUGGUAAAUCGGACGAAUCUGUAGUAUCUCUCUAUAAGCUGCUUUGCUUUACUACUAAUUGCUGACUAGAAGCUUCUUCCCCAGUCCCUGAUAACCCCUCUAUAGCUUUCAGAGGACAUUUGCAAUGUUCCUGAAGCAACAUUACCCUAGCUGCUGUCAAAAGAUCCUUGGCCUUCGGAUCCUUUUUUGUAGCUGCAUGAUACAUAUCUCUAUUUACCUGUUCCCAGAAUUCUGGCGUGUAUAUUUUACUUGUUUUUGCGUGAGGGUAUUUGAGUCUCACCCAUACAAAUAAAUCUCUAAGUUCACUUUCUGAUACAGUAAUCAGGUGUUAGAAGCUAUAUAUUUCAUUGUAGAUAGUAUCUUUGCUUGUUCAUGACUAAAUGCACCACCCAUAUUGUUAUGUGUGUGUUCCUAUGUGUAUCUGAGAUCUCAACCAGUCUUACCAAAAAUGAGAUGCUGGGACCAAGCUGGAGCUGUCCUGGGCGUCCAGCCAGCAGAUGCACAGGGAGAGGGAUUCCACGGUUCCUCCCGUCUGGUCUGAGCCUGGCAGCUGGUUUCUGGCAGCUGUUCAAGGUCUCUCCUCCACAGUUUUCUCUCUUCAGGUAGCUUCUUCUUUCCAGGAGUUUUCUGGAUCAGAGCUCUUCUGUAUCUACCAUUGUAGAUCACAGCAGGAGCCUGGACGCCCGGGCCGACGCCCACACAGGGGACGCCAGAUGUCACUGUCUGAGGGUCUCUUUGUGCCCGAGACCACUCAGAUGGACAUAGGAGGGUGGUUCAGGGCACAAGGUAUUCUUGAAGCUGCCGAAGAGAGACUGCAGGAGACACUCGUCCGGCCUCAAACUUUCCAAUACUACAAUAUCUUAUUACUAUGUCCAGUUUUGUCCCCAACCAAUCUGUGAUUCCCAGCAUCCCCCACCAACAUGGAGAACAAGAAGAAGAAGAAGAAGAAGAAGAAGAAAGAAGACACCACACCCCAAUUCCUCCAUCUUGGCCUCAUGAUUGAUAAUAUAAACAAUCCUGAAAAUUACCUUUUCUAUAUGCUAACUAUCCAAUUCACACUCUAGUUUCCCUUAAAGGUUGCAUUUCUUCUCUGAGAGAAGGCAGAUGUUCCCAUGGAGCUGGAUCCAGCUCUCAGACCCCCCUGGCUCUAUUCGGGGGUCUCUCAGGGGUCUGACAGGGGGGUUCUCGCACCCACAGAAGGUCCAGAGGGACUCCCUGGACCCUCACAUCAUGCUGGGGAAACUCCAGGGCUUUUCUUUUUUUUCCCUCUGAACCCUUUGAACAGGCUGAGAACUCUGCCUACCAUGGCAGAGUCUGGCCUCGAUGGCACCUAGUAGAGAGAUGCCUCAGGAAAGCUGAGAGGUAACAAGUCCCACAUUUGUGCCUUGAAGACACCCACGACAGAGAAACCUCAGGAAGGCUGCAGGACAGCAAGUCCUGCACUCUGGUCUUGAGGGCUCCUGCCACAAGGACAGGAGCCUCCUCUAAGUUAUUCAGGUUACCAAGUCCCGCGACUGCACCUGCUGCGAGUGCACCUGCAAAAGAAAAUCCUCGGGAAGGCUACAGGACACCAAGUCCCACGGUCUUGCCACGAGGUCACCUGCAGGAAUAACGCCUCAGAAGUGCUCCGGGUUAGACACAAACGAGUGUGCUGUGCGGGGGCUCCUCACAGCACUGCUCUGGCGCGUCCUGUCCCGUCGCGGGCUCCGAGCACUGUGCCGUGGCCGUGUCACUGCCAGCUCCUAAGUCACCACACGUCACAAGGAGUCCUUGGACACCGUUCCAUGCCACGGUGACCAGGCUGCACCAUGUCACAAAGGGCCCUUGCACACACUGCCACCUGCCCUGGGGCCACCCUCAGCCCACCCAGAGUGGCCCAGGUUGGAAGUGCUCAAGUGUCUAAGACAGCAUGACAGGAAUGUUAGGAAUUGCUCAAAUCAUCAGUGAAUGCUGUCCUGCUCUGUGGGCUCAAGGCAUUUAAGAAUCCUCGUUCCAGGAAACCUUUCCUUCCCAAUUGCUCAACUCAAGUAGUUUCAAAAAGUUGCAAACUUCCCAAAUUAAUUGUCAUAGCCUGAGAAUGUGAUAGAUUUGGGAGCUUGCGUCCCAUCUCAAAGCAGCAGUGUUUGCCUUAACGUCAUCCAUUGAGAGUCAUUUUACAAAACAGAACUACACAGAGGCAAAAAAAAAAAAGGCAAUUCUUUGGUUUGCAAAUGGUUUCCAAUGAAGAGAUGAUAACAUCCUAAUUCUAUGAAGGAAUAAAAGCUCGCAAGAAAUGCAAGUCCACUCAGUGUUACGCAAAUGGCCCAAACAAAUGAGUAGAUUACAAAAUGGCUAAUCCUCCUCCUGCUACAGAUAUCUAAAUGGCUUAUAAAGUACAGCUCUCCCUCUUCUUCCCUGGGGAGAAUCAGGACCAUGAACAGAAAAAAUCACAGCUAUUCCUUCGGCCCUGCAUAACCAAAGCCAUUCCAAACCACAGA